Molecule: ribosomal RNA, 496 nt
Filed under: uncultured bacterium
Lineage: Bacteria
Description: partial 16S ribosomal RNA
Rfam family: Bacterial small subunit ribosomal RNA
Source: RNAcentral
AUGCACGCUGGCGGCGUGCCUAAUACAUGCAAGUCGAGCGAACGGACGAGAAGCUUGCUUUUCUGAUGUUAGCGGCGGACGGGUGAGUAACACGUGGAUAACCUACCUAUAAGACUGGGAUAACUUCGGGAAACCGGAGCUAAUACCGGAUAAUAUUUUGAACCGCAUGGUUCAAAAGUGAAAGACGGUCUUGCUGUCACUUAUAGAUGGAUCUGCGCUGCAUUAGCUAGUUGGUAAGGUAACGGCUUACCAAGGCAACGAUGCAUAGCCGACCUGAGAGGGUGAUCGGCCACACUGGAACUGAGACACGGUCCAGACUCCUACGGGAGGCAGCAGUAGGGAAUCUUCCGCAAUGGGCGAAAGCCUGACGGAGCAACGCCGCGUGAGUGAUGAAGGUCUUCGGAUCGUAAAACUCUGUUAUUAGGGAAGAACAUAUGUGUAAGUAACUGUGCACAUCUUGACGGUACCUAAUCAGAAAGCCACGGCUAACUACGUG